Molecule: ribosomal RNA, 1343 nt
Filed under: uncultured bacterium
Lineage: Bacteria
Description: 16S ribosomal RNA
Rfam family: Bacterial small subunit ribosomal RNA
Source: RNAcentral
GACGAACGCUGGCGGCGUGCUUAACACAUGCAAGUCGAACGGAAAGGCCCUGCUUUUGUGGGGUGCUCGAGUGGCGAACGGGUGAGUAACACGUGAGUAACCUGCCCUUGACUUUGGGAUAACUUCAGGAAACUGGGGCUAAUACCGGAUAGGAGCUCCUGCUGCAUGGUGGGGGUUGGAAAGUUUCGGCGGUUGGGGAUGGACUCGCGGCUUAUCAGCUUGUUGGUGGGGUAGUGGCUUACCAAGGCUUUGACGGGUAGCCGGCCUGAGAGGGUGACCAGCCACAUUGGGACUGAGAUACGGCCCAGACUCCUACGGGAGGCAGCAGUGGGGAAUAUUGCACAAUGGGCGGAAGCCUGAUGCAGCAACGCCGCGUGCGGGAUGACGGCCUUCGGGUUGUAAACCGCUUUCGCCUGUGACGAAGCGUGAGUGACGGUAAUGGGUAAAGAAGCACCGGCUAACUACGUGCCAGCAGCCGCGGUGAUACGUAGGGUGCGAGCGUUGUCCGGAUUUAUUGGGCGUAAAGGGCUCGUAGGUGGUUGAUCGCGUCGGAAGUGUAAUCUUGGGGCUUAACCCUGAGCGUGCUUUCGAUACGGGUUGACUUGAGGAAGGUAGGGGAGAAUGGAAUUCCUGGUGGAGCGGUGGAAUGCGCAGAUAUCAGGAGGAACACCAGUGGCGAAGGCGGUUCUCUGGGCCUUUCCUGACGCUGAGGAGCGAAAGCGUGGGGAGCGAACAGGCUUAGAUACCCUGGUAGUCCACGCUGUAAACGGUGGGUACUAGGUGUGGGGUCCAUUCCACGGGUUCCGUGCCGUAGCUAACGCUUUAAGUACCCCGCCUGGGGAGUACGGCCGCAAGGCUAAAACUCAAAGGAAUUGACGGGGCCCCGCACAAGCGGCGGAGCAUGCGGAUUAAUUCGAUGCAACGCGUAGAACCUUACCUGGGUUUGACAUGGAUCGGGAGUGCUCAGAGAUGGGUGUGCCUCUUUUGGGGUCGGUUCACAGGUGGUGCAUGGCUGUCGUCAGCUCGUGUCGUGAGAUGUUGGGUUAAGUCCCGCAACGAGCGCAACCCUUGUUCACUGUUGCCAGCACGUUAUGGUGGGGACUCAGUGGAGACCGCCGGGGUCAACUCGGAGGAAGGUGGGGAUGACGUCAAGUCAUCAUGCCCCUUAUGUCCAGGGCCUCACGCAUGCUACAAUGGCUGGUACAGAGAGUGGCGAGCCUGUGAGGGUGAGCGAAUCUCGGAAAGCCGGUCUCAGUUCGGAUUGGGGUCUGCAACUCGACCUCAUGAAGUCGGAGUCGCUAGUAAUCGCAGAUCAGCAACGCUGCGGUGAAUACGUUCCCGGG